UAGAUCAGCACGUUGGCAUCGUAGGCGACGCCAAACUGGCCAUCAAUACUGUGGACCCAAGAAAACCAAGCUAGUUCACAGCACAAUCUCUGGCAGCCAGACGCGGUCGGAAGGGACUCGCAGGGUUCCUAGGCCCCCGAAGUCGUCCUUGCUGUAGUUGAGUCGGUAAUCAUGCCAGUCCUACGAGGGGGGUGACGGAAGGACGUGUGCCGUGCCCGUCCCACCUGGUGCUGCCCAGGAGGCCUUUGGAAGAAAGGCGCUCCCUAGCAAACCCCACAAUGCUCCCCAGAUUUCACUCACGAUUCCGAUCCAUACAUUGGUAGUGAGAGUCUCCUUCUUCUCGUUCUGCAGCAGGGAGAUUGAGGUGAUUCAGGCCCAAUUUCAAGGGUGAGAGGGAGUCUCCAGGAAGGACUCUUCCUAUCUUGACCCCUGCACCUGGAUAUUCCUGCUAGUGCUGGGUGUGGAACAGGAAUUUUAACAUUUGCUCAUGGUAAGGAUUGCUCGGGGUAAGUUUUUCUUUUAUGGGGGAGGGGAUGUGUGGUCCAGUAUAGGUCUGUUUAGCCAGACCUCUCUUUUCUAUUUGCAUAAUGAAAAUUCCACAGAGCCUUUGCAGACUGCCUAAUCAUUUUGUUUCUGAGGAAGCCUUGACUUCAAAGCUAGACCCAGAGAUCGCAGCCCAACAGGAAGCCACUCCCUUCACCAAUGAUUCUUGGCGAGCAACUCGGAACAGCUGUAGCUGCCCCCGGUGGCACACAUGCCAGGAUGCUGUUUCUUAGUCAUCGGGGACCUCAGGGUGACGAUGAUGACAUCCCAAGCUGCUCCGAUAGGGGUCCCCUCUGCGGUCAGCACAAACAGCCGCCCUUUCUUUUGUGCACAGAGAAAGGUUUUGCUGAGCCAAGACAGGGAGCGUCCAGUAGACACUAACUGCCAGGCUGCCUCCCACAGUGGAGCCUAGGCUGAGCGCUGAGACCUCUCUGGUUGACUGUUCGAGGCACUAUUGCUAUUGGGAAUCCUCUGCUCAAAACAUAACCAUGAGAAUAAAUGCAGAAUAAGUGCUUUAGCCUUCUACUGAGGGUCCUUCUUCAACCGUGUGACCCUACAGGAUCUACUAGUCACUUAGAGACCACUUAGAGUCAGUCGGUCCUGAGGCGGCCACCUGACCCCAGACAAGCCAAGGCAAGUCCUUCCCUGGGAAUUUUGCCAAACAGGAACUCAGGAAGCCUCUCUCUCUCCCCCCUGCCACAAGAUAGGAAAUUUAUUCAUUUAC
This is a long non-coding RNA of Fukomys damarensis (Damara mole-rat), 1267 nucleotides long. RefSeq lists it as uncharacterized. The record is from RefSeq and is a predicted model, not a curated record. The transcript is spliced from 3 exons. NCBI's taxonomy places the organism in Eukaryota, Metazoa, Chordata, Mammalia, Rodentia, Bathyergidae.